RNAcentral lists this ribosomal RNA (632 nucleotides) under uncultured bacterium. RNAcentral's name for it is "bacterial SSU rRNA". It matches the Rfam family "Bacterial small subunit ribosomal RNA", at positions 78 to 745 of the family's 1533-position model. The record is from RNAcentral.
GCUUGCUUUGUAUCUUAGUGGCGGACGGGCGAGUAACGCGUGAGCACCUGCCCUUCAGUGGGGAAUAACGUCUGGAAACGGACGCUAAUACCGCAUAACGCCGCAUGACCAAAGGAUUUAUUCGCUAAGAUGGGCUCGCGUCCGAUUAGCUAGAUGGUGGGGUAAAGGCUCACCAUGGCGACGAUCGGUAGCCGAACUGAGAGGUUGAUCGGCCGCAUUGGGACUGAGACACGGCCCAGACUCCUACGGGAGGCAGCAGUGGGGGAUAUUGCACAAUGGGGGAAACCCUGAUGCAGCAAUGCCGCGUGAGGGAAGAAGGUCUUCGGAUUGUAAACCUAAGUAGCCAGGGACGAUAAUGACGGUACCUGGAGAGUAAGCUCCGGCUAACUACGUGCCAGCAGCCGCGGUAAUACGUAGGGAGCGAGCGUUGUCCGGAUUUACUGGGUGUAAAGGGUGCGUAGGCGGGAUGGCAAGUCAGAUGUGAAAUACCGGGGCUUAACCCCGGGGCUGCAUUUGAAACUGUCGUUCUUGAGUGAAGUAGAGGCAGGCGGAAUUCCUAGUGUAGCGGUGAAAUGCGUAGAUAUUAGGAGGAACACCAGUGGCGAAGGCGGCCUGCUGGGCUUUAACUGACG